Molecule: ribosomal RNA, 465 nt
Filed under: uncultured bacterium
Lineage: Bacteria
Description: partial 16S ribosomal RNA
Rfam family: Bacterial small subunit ribosomal RNA
Source: RNAcentral
CCUACGGGUGGCAGCAGUAGGGAAUCUUCCACAAUGGGCGAAAGCCUGAUGGAGCAACGCCGCGUGGGUGAAGAAGGUCUUCGGAUCGUAAAACUCUGUUGUUAGAGAAGAAAGUGCGUGAGAGUAACUGUUCACGUUUCGACGGUAUAUAACCAGACAGCCACGGCUAACUACGUGCCAGCAGCCGCGGUAAUACGUAGGUGGCAAGCGUUAGCCGGAUUUAUUGGGCGUAAAGGGAACGCAGGCGGUCUUUCAAGUCUGAUGUUAAAGCCUUCGGCUUAACCGGGGUAGUGCAUUGGAAACUGGGAGACUUGAGUGCAGAAGAGGAGGGUGGAACUCCGUGUGUAGCGGUGAAAUGCGUAGAUAUAUGGAAGAACACCAGUGGCGAAGGCGGCUCUCUGGUCUGUAACUGACGCUGAGGUUCGAAAGCGUGGGUAGCAAACAGGAUUAGAUACCCGGGUAGUC